AAGUGGCUGAUACCAUGCUUCCAGGAAAAGUCUCUAAGCUUCAGUUACACAGGAAUCGUACCCGAAACCGACACAGGUGGUCAGGUCGAGUAGACCAAAGCGCUUGAGAGAACUCUGCUGAAGGAACUAGGCAAAAUGGUACCGUAACUUCGGGAGAAGGUACGCUGCUGACGGUGAUGGGACUUGCUCCCUGAGCGGUUGGCAGCCGCAGAAACCAGGCCGCUGCAACUGUUUAUUAAAAACAUAGCACUCUGCAAACACGAAAGUGGACGUAUAGGGUGUGAUGCCUGCCCGGUGCUGGAAGGUUAAUUGAUGGGGUUAGCGUAAGCGAAGCUCUUGAUCGAAGCCCCAGUAAACGGCGGCCGUAACUAUAACGGUCCUAAGGUAGCGAAAUUCCUUGUCGGGUAAGUUCCGACCUGCACGAAUGGCAUAAUGAUGGCGGCGCUGUCUCCAGCAGAGGCUCAGUGAAAUCGAAAUCGCUGUGAAGAUGCAGUGUACCCGCGGCUAGACGGAAAGACCCCGUGAACCUUUACUGCAGCUUGACAUUGAACUUUGACCUUACUUGUGUAGGAUAGGUGGGAGGCUUUGAAGUUGGAACGCUAGUUCCAAUGGAGCCGUCCUUGAAAUACCACCCUGGUAAUGUUGAGGUUCUAACUCUGCCCCGUAAUCCGGGGCGAGGACCAUGUCUGGUGGGUAGUUUGACUGGGGCGGUCUCCUCCUAAAGAGUAACGGAGGAGUACGAAGGUGCGCUCAGCGUGGUCGGAAAUCACGCGUAGAGUAUAAAGGCAAAAGCGCGCUUAACUGCGAGACCCACAAGUCGAGCAGGUACGAAAGUAGGUCUUAGUGAUCCGGUGGUUCUGUAUGGAAGGGCCAUCGCUCAACGGAUAAAAGGUACUCUGGGGAUAACAGGCUGAUACCGCCCAAGAGUUCAUAUCGACGGCGGUGUUUGGCACCUCGAUGUCGGCUCAUCUCAUCCUGGGGCUGAAGCAGGUCCCAAGGGUAUGGCUGUUCGCCAUUUAAAGAGGUACGCGAGCUGGGUUUAGAACGUCGUGAGACAGUUCGGUCCCUAUCUACCGUGGGCGCUGGAAAUUUGAGAGGAUCUGCUCCUAGUACGAGAGGACCAGAGUGGACGAACCUCUGGUGUACCGGUUGUCACGCCAGUGGCAUCGCCGGGUAGCUAUGUUCGGAAGGGAUAACCGCUGAAAGCAUCUAAGCGGGAAGCCUACCUCAAGAUAAGAUUUCCCUAAGACUAUAUGUCUUCUAAAGAGCCGUUCGAGACUAGGACGUUGAUAGGUUGGGUGUGGAAGCACGGUGACGUGUGAAGCUGACCAAUACUAAUUGCUCGUGAGGCUUGACU
Molecule: ribosomal RNA, 1357 nt
Filed under: Acinetobacter sp. CIP 102082
Lineage: Bacteria; Pseudomonadati; Pseudomonadota; Gammaproteobacteria; Moraxellales; Moraxellaceae
Description: bacterial LSU rRNA
Rfam family: Bacterial large subunit ribosomal RNA
Source: RNAcentral